AACGAACGCUGGCGGCAUGCCUAACACAUGCAAGUCGAACGAUACCUUCGGGUCUAGUGGCGCACGGGUGCGUAACGCGUGGGAACCUGCCCUUAGGUUCGGAAUAACUCCCCGAAAGGGGUGCUAAUACCGGAUAAUGUCUUCGGACCAAAGAUUUAUCGCCUUUGGAUGGGCCCGCGUUGGAUUAGCUAGUUGGUAGGGUAAAAGCCUACCAAGGCGACGAUCCAUAGCUGGUCUGAGAGGAUGAUCAGCCACACUGGGACUGAGACACGGCCCAGACUCCUACGGGAAGCAGCAGUGGGGAAUAUUGGACAAUGGGCGAAAGCCUGAUCCAGCAAUGCCGCGUGAGUGAUGAAGGCCUUAGGGUUGUAAAGCUCUUUUACCCGGGAUGAUAAUGACAGUACCGGGAGAAUAAGCUCCGGCUAACUCCGUG
RNAcentral lists this ribosomal RNA (433 nucleotides) under uncultured bacterium. RNAcentral describes it as "partial 16S ribosomal RNA". It matches the Rfam family "Bacterial small subunit ribosomal RNA", at positions 29 to 507 of the family's 1533-position model. The record is from RNAcentral.